GACAAACGCUGGCGGCGUGCCUAAUACAUGCAAGUAGAACGCACAGUUUAUACCGUAGCUUGCUACACCAUAGACUGUGAGUUGCGAACGGGUGAGUAACGCGUAGGUAACCUGCCUGGUAGCGGGGGAUAACUAUUGGAAACGAUAGCUAAUACCGCAUAAUAUUAAUUAUUGCAUGAUAAUUAAUUGAAAGGUGCAAUUGCACCACUACCAGAUGGACCUGCGUUGUAUUAGCUAGUAGGUGAGGUAACGGCUCACCUAGGCGACGAUACAUAGCCGACCGGAGAGGGUGAUCGGCCACACUGGGACUGAGACACGGCCCAGACUCCUACGGGAGGCAGCAGUAGGGAAUCUUCGGCAAUGGACGAAAGUCUGACCGAGCAACGCCGCGUGAGUGAAGAAGGUUUUCGGAUCGUAAAGCUCUGUUGUAAGAGAAGAACGGGUGUGAGAGUGGAAAGUUCACACUGUGACGGUAUCUUACCAGAAAGGGGCGGCUAACUACGUG
Molecule: ribosomal RNA, 505 nt
Filed under: uncultured bacterium
Lineage: Bacteria
Description: partial 16S ribosomal RNA
Rfam family: Bacterial small subunit ribosomal RNA
Source: RNAcentral